This 806-nucleotide ribosomal RNA is filed under the name uncultured organism. RNAcentral's name for it is "bacterial SSU rRNA". It matches the Rfam family "Bacterial small subunit ribosomal RNA", at positions 55 to 833 of the family's 1533-position model. The record is from RNAcentral.
AUGCAAGUCGAACGAGAAAUCUUUAGCUUGCUAGAGAAAGUAAAGUGGCGCACGGGUGAGUAACGCGUGGGUAAUCUGCCUCCGAAUCGGGGAUAACAUUGCGAAAGCGAUGCUAAUACCGGAUAAAAUCUGGUUGGCUUAGGUGAACCGGAUCAAAGGUGGUCUCUUUAUAAAAGCUACCGUUUGGAGAUGAGCUCGCGUACCAUUAGCUAGUUGGUGAGGUAAAGGCUCACCAAGGCGACGAUGGUUAGCUGGUCUGAGAGGAUGAUCAGCCACACCGGAACUGGAACACGGUCCGGACUCCUACGGGAGGCAGCAGUGAGGAAUUUUGCGCAAUGGGGGAAACCCUGACGCAGCAACGCCGCGUGAGUGAUGAAGGCUUUCGGGUCGUAAAGCUCUGUCAGGUGGGAAGAACCCACCAAGUGUUAAGACCACUUGGUGCUGACGGUACCACCGAAGGAAGCACCGGCUAACUCCGUGCCAGCAGCCGCGGUAAUACGGGGGGUGCGAGCGUUAUUCGGAAUCAUUGGGCGUAAAGGGCGCGCAGGCGGUUUUGUAAGUCAGAUGUGAAAUCCCGGGGCUUAACCCCGGAAGUGCAUAUGAAACUAUGAGACUUGAGUAUGGGAGAGGGAAGCGGAAUUCCUGGUGUAGCGGUGAAAUGCGUAGAUAUCAGGAGGAACACCGGUGGCGAAGGCGGCUUCCUGGACCAAUACUGACGCUGAGGCGCGAAGGCGUGGGGAGCGAACAGGAUUAGAUACCCUGGUAGUCCACGCAGUAAACGUUGAUCACUAGGUGUAGCGGGUAUU